AACGACGCUGGCGGCAGCCUAACAAUGCAAGUCGAGCGCACUUAUGAUCUUCGGAUUAUAGGCGAGCGGCGGACGGGUUAGUAACGCGUGGGAACGUACCCUUUACUACGGAAUAGCCUUUGGAAACGAAAAGUAAUACCGUAUACGCCCUUCGGGGGAAAGAUUUAUCGGUAAAGGAUCGGCCCGCGUAAGAUUAGAUAGUUGGUGGGGUAAUGGCCUACCAAGUCUACGAUCUUUAGCUGGUUUUAGAGGAUGAUCAGCAACACUGGGACUGAGACACGGCCCAGACUCCUACGGGAGGCAGCAGUGGGGAAUCUUGGACAAUGGGCGCAAGCCUGAUCCAGCCAUGCCGCGUGAGUGAUGAAGGCCUAGGGUCGUAAAGCUCUUUCGCCAGGGAUGAUAAUGACAGUACCUGGUAAAGAAACCCCGGCUAACUCCGUGCCAGCAGCCGCGGUAAUACGGAGGGGGUUAGCGUUGUUCGGAAUUACUGGGCGUAAAGCGUACGUAGGCGGAUCAGAAAGUAUGGGGUGAAAUCCCAGGGCUCAACCCUGGAACUGCCUCAUAAACUCCUGGUCUAGAGUUCGAGAGAGGUGAGUGGAAUUCCGAGUGUAGAGGUGAAAUUCGUAGAUAUUCGGAGGAACACCAGUGGCGAAGGCGGCUCACUGGCUCGAUACUGACGCUGAGGUACGAAAGUGUGGGGAGCAAACAGGAGUUAGAUACCCUGGUAGUCCACACCGUAAACGAUGAAUGCCACGUCGUCGGGUAGCAUGCUAUUCGGUGACACACCCUAACGGAUUAAGCAUUCCGCCUGGGGAGUACGGUCGCAAGAUUCAAACUCAAAGGCAUUGAACGG
This 853-nucleotide ribosomal RNA is filed under the name uncultured bacterium. Its description in RNAcentral is "bacterial SSU rRNA". It matches the Rfam family "Bacterial small subunit ribosomal RNA", at positions 28 to 917 of the family's 1533-position model. The record is from RNAcentral.